Molecule: ribosomal RNA, 193 nt
Filed under: uncultured bacterium
Lineage: Bacteria
Description: partial 16S ribosomal RNA
Rfam family: Bacterial small subunit ribosomal RNA
Source: RNAcentral
CCUACGGGGGGCAGCAGUGGGGAAUUUUGCGCAAUGGGCGAAAGCCUGACGCAGCGACGCCGCGUGAGGGACGAAGGUCUUCGUGAUCGUAAACCUCUGUCAGGAAGGAUUAAAUGCACAGAUGUUAAUAACACCUGUGCUUGACUUAACUUCCAGAGGAAGCCCCGGCUAACUACGUGCCAGCAGCCGCGGU